CUACAUAACAUAACAGAAAUCGUAUUAGAUUGUUUGUUUAAAACUAUUUGAUUGGGUCUUUGAAUCAAAAUAGUACCACCCACUAUUUUUGGCAAAUUCCAUAUCCCUCAAUAGAAUUCGAGAGUUAUAUUGAACUCUUAGUGGGGUAUGGGAGACUCACCAUUACCAAGCCCACCUCAGAAGAAUAUCAUAUUGGCUAGCAACAAUAAUGAUGAGAGAAUAACGCAUUAUUCAUUUACAACCUUUUGUAAUUACCCAUCUAGUUUGGCCUCUAGAGAAUGAUGCCUCAGAAGAAUAUCAUAUUGGCACCAUUGCACUUAGUUAAGUCGUUCCCACCAUGCUUGUUCAAGUAGGGGUUCAAGAAUGGCCUCAGAAGAAUAUCAUAUUGGCCAUACUCGUUGCCUACUUUCACUUCAUCAUAUGUUUAUGGGCUUCUCCUGAAUGUAAGCACAUACUUUGCAUACCCCAAAACUGGACGAAUACGGUGUAUGAGUCACAAACGAUUGAAGCCCACCACGGUGGAAGGCCUAGGAAGAGAUGUUCAAAACAUCUCUCGCUUAUCAACUUAAUAUUCAUUUGUUGAGGGAGUAAUUUGGGCUACAUCAAAAUCAUUUUAAUCACAUUAAAAGAACUUGGGCCUAUCACAACCAUUGGUCCAAGUUUAAUAUGAAUUAGUAGUUUAUAAUACUCCCACUAUUUCGAAGAAAUAAGUGAGACUAUAUGGAACUACUAACGAAUGCGUUGCAUCCUCAUAUGGACUAUAUAGUCAUAUUAGGUCUUAGGAUGAUUAUGAAC
RNAcentral lists this long non-coding RNA (795 nucleotides) under Malus domestica (apple). RNAcentral describes it as "long non-coding RNA (MDOM_LNC013976)". The record is from RNAcentral. Lineage: Eukaryota; Viridiplantae; Streptophyta; Magnoliopsida; Rosales; Rosaceae.